AUUGAACGCUGGCGGCAGGCCUAACACAUGCAAGUCGAACGAGUGGCGGACGGGUGAGUAAUGUCUGGGAAACUGCCCGAUGGAGGGGGAUAACUACUGGAAACGGUAGCUAAUACCGCAUACCAUCGGAUGUGCCCAGAUGGGAUUAGCUAGUAGGUGGGGUAAUGGCUCACCUAGGCGACGAUCCCUAGCUGGUCUGAGAGGAUGACCAGCGACACUGGGACUGAGACACGGCCCAGACGCCGACGGGAGGCAGCAGUGGGGAAGAUUGCACAAUGGGCGCAAGCCUGAUACAGCCACGCGGCGGGUAUGAAGAAGGCCUACGGGUUGUAAAGUACUUUCAGCGGUGAUGCGUUACCCGCAGAAGAAGCACCGGCUAACUCCGUGCCAGCCGCCGCGGUAAUAC
Molecule: ribosomal RNA, 406 nt
Filed under: uncultured bacterium
Lineage: Bacteria
Description: partial 16S ribosomal RNA
Rfam family: Bacterial small subunit ribosomal RNA
Source: RNAcentral